This 382-nucleotide ribosomal RNA is filed under the name uncultured eukaryote. Its description in RNAcentral is "partial 18S ribosomal RNA". It matches the Rfam family "Eukaryotic small subunit ribosomal RNA", at positions 592 to 976 of the family's 1831-position model. The record is from RNAcentral.
UGUAAGCGUAUACCAAAGUUGUUGCAGUUAAAACGCUCGUAGUCGGAAUUUGGCAGUUCCGGAAGUGUGCACGUCGUGUGCGCACUUUGCGGGGACUGCUUUUGUGGUCUUGCGUAGGAUGAGGCACUUUCAUUAGUGAACGUCCUCACGCAACCACUCUUUACUGCGAGAAAAUCGGAGUGCUCAAAGCAGGCAUUUGCCGUGAAUGUAUUAGCAUGGAAUAAUAGAAUAGGACUCGGUUCUAUUUUGUUGGUUUGUUGGGACUGAGUAAUGAUUAAGAGGGACAGUUGGGGGCAUUUGUAUUCCGGCGCUAGAGGUGAAAUUCUUAGAUUGCCGGAAGACAAACUGCUGCGAAAGCGUCUGCCAAGGAUGUUUUCAUUGA